CCCUUAGAUGUUCUGGGCUGCACGCGUGUUACAAUCGGGAGUACAACAAGAUUGCAAAUCCUAGUGGAUGAGUGGUUCUUCGAAAUUUUCUGAAGACUGGGAUAGUUGAUUGAAAUUAUUCAACUCGAACGAGGAAUUCCUUGUAAUUGUAAUUCAUUAUAUUGUAAUGAAUACAUCCCUGCCCUUUGUACACACCGCCCGUCGCUCCUACCGAUUGAACGAUCCGGUGAAUUAUUUGGAGUAGCUCUGGAAGUUGCAGAACUUCCUAUGUCACGAAAUUUUGUAAACCUUAUCGUUUAGAGGAAGGAAAAGUCGUAACA
This 320-nucleotide ribosomal RNA is filed under the name uncultured eukaryote. Its description in RNAcentral is "partial 18S ribosomal RNA". It matches the Rfam family "Eukaryotic small subunit ribosomal RNA", at positions 1470 to 1796 of the family's 1831-position model. The record is from RNAcentral.